AGAGAAGUCAUGGAAGAAGACCCUGAAGCAUAUUCAUACACCACACAAACUGCUUGAUACAAGUCAAAAGAAACAGGUUGCUUACAAUAGUGAGAAGCCAUACAAGUGUUCGCAGCGCUCCUGCUUCUGUUGACAGAAGCUCUCUGUGCUGACACUAAAGGACACAUACACACAAGAAAAGACUUACAGUACUGUCCUUACAGCAGCACCCAGAAGAAGAGCUUAGACCUCCAUUCACGGCGUCAUCACACUGGAGAGUCGUUCCCUUGUCACCUGUGCCAGUAUUCCACACCAGACCGCCAGCUGCUGGUGCGACACAAGAGGAAACAUCACAGUGAUGAACAAACUGCAGCACUGGGGUAGAAGAACAGCUCUGGUUCUGGCUUCCAAGCAGCACCUUCUCAAAGAGCACGGACAUCCGAAUGAUAUUUAUGAUUUCUAAUAAAAUUUUUAGUUAAUUAUCACACUUCUUGUAAUAAUUCAGUAAAUUCAAAGUAAUUCAGUAAAUUCAAUGUGCCAUUGCUUUUGAAAUAUUAUGUCAUGGUUUUAAAUAAGAUUAGAUCACCCCAGCAUUGACACAAUAACUCAAAUCACGGUUUAAUAAGUUCGGUGGAAUGUAGGUGAAUGUUAUUUGCUCCAUUUUAGUGGGUGGUUAAUUAUAGCUUUAAAAUAGUAAGCGAUUAAAGGAUUUACCCAUGAUGCAGCAAGCGUAAUACUGACUUUAAAACUACAAGCAAAUCCCUCUUCCAAUCCGGAUUAUUUUACCUGUUGCUCAGCGCACGAGCAGCCAAAUUCAUAUUAACAGGUGACUAGAAGCUUUAUUUAGUAAUUUUGGUUUCGUUACUUAUAUUAAGGAAAUCGCUGAUUUAUAACAACAUCUUUUGA
Molecule: long non-coding RNA, 885 nt
Organism: Cyprinus carpio (common carp)
Lineage: Eukaryota; Metazoa; Chordata; Actinopteri; Cypriniformes; Cyprinidae
Exons: 3
Source: RefSeq, a predicted model, not a curated record